AGCAGCCGCGGUAAUUCCAGCUCCAAUAGCGUAUAUUAAAGUUGUUGCAGUUAAAAAGCUCGUAGUUGAAUUUCGGGGUUAGCAGGUCGGUCGUGCCAUCGGUAUGAACUGGUCUCGCUGAUCCCUCCCUCUUGACGAACUGUGAUGCCAUUAAUUUGGUGUCGCAGGGAAUCAGGACUGUUACUUUGAAAAAUUAGAGUGUUUAAAGCAGGCUCACGCUUGAAUACAUUAGCAUGGAAUAAUGAAAUAGGACGUUUGAUCCUAUUUUGUUGGCUUCUAGGAUUGACGUAAUGAUUAAUAGGGAUAGUUGGGGGCAUUAGUAUUCAAUUGUCAGAGGUGAAAUUCUUGGAUUUAUUGAAGACUAACUACUGCGAAAGCAUUUGCCAAGGAUGUUUUCAUUAAUCAAGAACGAAAGUUAGGGGAUCGAAGACGAUCAGAUACCGUCGUAGUCUUAACCAUAAACUAUGCCGACUAGGGAUCGGAUGAUGUUAAUUUUUAAUGACUCAUUC
RNAcentral lists this unclassified non-coding RNA (509 nucleotides) under uncultured Glomus. Its description in RNAcentral is "SSU rRNA". It matches the Rfam family "Eukaryotic small subunit ribosomal RNA", at positions 569 to 1081 of the family's 1831-position model. Lineage: Eukaryota; Fungi; Glomeromycota; Glomeromycetes; Glomerales; Glomeraceae. The record is from RNAcentral.